GCGGCCGGACGAAGACAGUGUGACUGAGUGUGGGAGAGGAAUGGCGCCGGCGGCUGAAGGAACAAGAACAGAAACCGCUGGAAAAGCUGAGCAGGUCCGGCAGCUCGUGUUGAGAGAAAUUGUGACCUAUUUGGAUAGGGCAAGGCUUACCAGGGUAGCACACAGCACAACUGGUAUCAAACUGGCACACAACACCUUUACAGGAAGGUGUCAAAGGAGGUUAAAGUUUCAGCAGAAAUGAAGCACAGCUGAGAACAGACAACAACUGUGUGGGAACAGGAAGAUCAACCAAGGACAAAGAAACCAGGACUGAAAUCCGAGCUGACACCAGACCGCCCUGUGGUCAGUGCUUUGAUUAGCAGUGUCAACCCUCUACCUUUACCUAGCUUCCCAUUCGACUUGAAUGCCACAUCUCCCCUCAAUAUUUAGGAUCCAAUCCUUGUCAUCCUGAAGCUAUGUCUCUGUAAGGAGUCUCAGAUCAUAAUUAUUCUCUUCAAUGUGAGCAGUCAAUUCAUUCACUUUUGUAACGUUGCAGCGCUAUUACGACACGGGUAACCCCCUCUGCUAAAUUAAACCAGCAGUAUAGAGAUGAUUCACCCCAUGCAGUAAUAUGUAAAAGUUCGAGAGGCAAAGAACUAUCCCAAAGGUAAAUAUUUAAAAGUAAACAUUUAACAACUUUACUCUUUACGUCCAACAGAGAAUUUUAAAACUCACAGAAAUGCCCGGUUUUAUAGUCCAAACAUCGAAUCAUUUUAUUGGUGUUAAUAUUAUCAAAAUACUUAAUUCAAACUUGAUUGGACUUUGGUAUUUUGGGGCAAAAUUUAAACGGAUUGGCCAAAUUUAAAUUUG
Hemiscyllium ocellatum (epaulette shark) is the source of this 849-nucleotide long non-coding RNA. RefSeq lists it as uncharacterized. Lineage: Eukaryota; Metazoa; Chordata; Chondrichthyes; Orectolobiformes; Hemiscylliidae. The transcript has 3 exons. The record is from RefSeq and is a predicted model, not a curated record.